CAAAGGUAAAAUAAUCAUUUCAGGAUUUUUAUUUCCUACACUUCUUAGAUUUAGUUGGAUAUCUUGCCUUUAUUGGACAGUGACGAGAGAGAGAGAGAUGCAGCGAGGACUCGGCAUUAAUGGUCGCGCUCCACCAGGUCCUGCUGAUAAACCAUUUCCUCAUGAGACAGUUUUCCUGAUCUGAUGGGCCUUUCCCCCUCCACCUGCUGCAGCGAUGAGGCGCUCAGACCUGCGUUGCCAUGGAUACACGGUCCUGUUCCUGGGAAGAUAGACGUUUACUGAUGAUCGCCUACAGAUGGAGCCGCUGCUCAAUGAGUGAGGUGAAUGUUUGAUCUGUGCACACACGUCACACAGCAGCUUCUGCUUCAACAGCUUUAUUUAGCUUAAGAAUACAUACAGGAUAAACAGGAAAAUAAAAGAAAGCAUAACAGUAUCUGAUUUUGGAAACUUUUGCAGCCGACUUCAAUUUUCUUGGACGAUAAAAGGCACA
Siniperca chuatsi (mandarin fish) is the source of this 490-nucleotide long non-coding RNA. RefSeq lists it as uncharacterized. The transcript is spliced from 3 exons. NCBI's taxonomy places the organism in Eukaryota, Metazoa, Chordata, Actinopteri, Centrarchiformes, Sinipercidae. The record is from RefSeq and is a predicted model, not a curated record.